ACAAAGGGGCAGGAGAUGAGGUCAUCAUAUAGUAACAUGUAUUCAAAGAUCGCCAAGUGGUUCUUUAUCUGUUCGGAUUUGUUGAAUGUUUUUAGGUUUCGAGAGACAUACUGUACUCACGCUGCUUGAGGUUAUGGCGGCUUCUCUUGUCAAUUUUCUUUGCUCCGAAUUGGUACUGUAGAUUGGUCGAUGAAUUACCAACUAGUACUGCAAAGUUUAUCUUGGCUAACGGAGACAGGAUGGAUCAGAAGUUACUGUCGAGCAAACGUCAUGAGAAACAUUACUUGUCCCCAGACCUUGCCCGAGCACCGAACGCUCACAUGACAUAUCAACGAAAGAGUAUUUACUUCUGCUUUUCUUUGAUUCUUUCGUUCACUACCUUCCGUCUCUUGUAAGUCAUGGAUGAACGUAACAGAAACAACCCUGACAUGUUGCGAGAACUUAGCGACACCGAGGAAAGAAUUGUUAGGGGAGAAGUUCACCCCAAUAAUCAGGAAGCCCAGCUGAUGCGUGAAUUCCUGGCUCAAGCCAAGAAGGCAUUGGAUUUUGCCUCAGGAGUGAUAGAUUUAAUGGAACAAAAACUUCCACCUGAACCAGAACCUGAACCUCAACUGGAACCUCAACCUAAGAAGAAGAAAAAGUCUCACUAAAAGAGAGUGUUUAUAGAUAAGCCAAGUUCAACUUGUCCUCCUGAUUUCUCUCACUUGAUUCCUGUUGUGUAGGAGUAUUAUUUAGGUGACCUUUGUGUAGAUCCUGUAGUUUUAGGGACAACUGUCACUACCAUAGCCUUAGUAUAAUAAAUUUUGUAUAGUCCUCCAAUCCAUCAUAAUUUGGGAAAGCUUUUAUUCAGUGGUUCUAUUGGAGUAGUUUGUUGUAGACAAAGCAUUGACAGUCCUCUGGACAAGUAGUUAAGCAUAUCUGUACGUGAAAUUAUUGUUAGACAUGUGACUCUCAAACUGAGUGAAUAACAACUAGUGAAUUUAAUGACCAAAUAGGGGAAAAAGUAAUGUGACAAGUGACCAAAGAUAAAAUUAUCUGAACAGUUAUCAAUAACACUAGGUGUGUCAUAGAAAUUUCCUGUUUGUCUUAGGCAAUUGCUUUGGUUUUGUAUUCUUUAUUUAGACCUUGUGGGACUUUGCAUUCUGGCUUUAUUUAGAAAAAUGUUCUCAUUUAAAUAGCUUUCUGUUGAUAUUAUUUGUUUAGUUUGAUCCUAAGCCUAACAGCAUUUGUACAUGUUUUAUAAGCUUGCUCAUUUUGCUAUUGUUUCCCUAGUGAUUCACUGUAUCACAGCUUGAAUUUCUUUUUCAAUCAUUAGUUGUAAAUAUUUCUCUAAAUUCAGUCUCACUUCGUGCUGAGUCAUCGGCUGUUACUGUUUUUUCUCAUUUUAAACUGGACUAGCGUUUGCUACAUAAUUUUGUUACAGCGUAACUCCUGAUGUUAACCUUUGGUUGUGUUUUUCGUGUGAUGGUUCGCAAAUUUUAUCGCUUUUACUUUUUAAAUUC
Pocillopora verrucosa is the source of this 1502-nucleotide long non-coding RNA. RefSeq lists it as uncharacterized. The record is from RefSeq and is a predicted model, not a curated record. NCBI's taxonomy places the organism in Eukaryota, Metazoa, Cnidaria, Anthozoa, Scleractinia, Pocilloporidae.